Molecule: transfer RNA, 72 nt
Filed under: Arsenophonus sp.
Lineage: Bacteria; Pseudomonadati; Pseudomonadota; Gammaproteobacteria; Enterobacterales; Morganellaceae
Description: tRNA-Cys
Rfam family: tRNA
About the family: Transfer RNA (tRNA) molecules are approximately 80 nucleotides in length.
Source: RNAcentral
GACGUGUUGGCAGAAUGGAUUAUGCAGCGGACUGCAAAUCCGCUUAUCCCGGUUCAAUUCCGGGACACGUCU